RNAcentral lists this transfer RNA (774 nucleotides) under uncultured cyanobacterium. RNAcentral describes it as "partial contains 16S ribosomal RNA, 16S-23S ribosomal RNA intergenic spacer, and 23S ribosomal RNA". The stretch from base 268 to 340 matches the Rfam family "tRNA". Lineage: Bacteria; Bacillati; Cyanobacteriota. The record is from RNAcentral.
CAGGGAGACAACACAAUGAUUUUGAUGCCUGAGUACUUUUAUUCUUAGGCCGAAAUCCUGUCACCUUAGGUCGAUCGGUACCUCAGCUUUGAAGUUAAGGAUCAGCAGCAAUGUUGAUUGCUCGACGGAGAUUUUCAGUUCCUAAACUUUGUCUAGGUCACACCCCAAAAGGGAUGAGACUCCUGGGCCAUUAGCUCAGGUGGUUAGAGCGCACCCCUGAUAAGGGUGAGGUCCCUGGUUCAAGUCCAGGAUGGCCCAUUCGGUGUUGGGGGUUUAGCUCAGUUGGUAGAGCGCCUGCUUUGCAAGCAGGAUGUCAGGAGUUCGAGUCUCCUAACCUCCACUGACCGAACUUGAUUCCCAUCUCCAAUUUUUUGGAGUUGAGCUCGAUUGGAGUGUGAUUUAGAUGUGUCCGCUGGAUGACCCCAGCUUCCUGUCAUUCCAAGUUUUAGGUUAAAGCCUUGAAUUUGGUUGAUAAGAUGCUGGGCUCGGAUCAAAUGAUCAAGCAAUUGAUGAUUUGAUUUGAAGUUCUGGCAGAACCUUGACAACUGCAUAGGUGAGUCUGGAAAAAACAAAGCAUCUUACAGAUGCAUUGUUUUGAAUCUGAUCUUCUGAAAGGGAGAUUGGAUCUAGAACAAUGAAAAUUCUUUUGAGCAAGAGCCGAGACUCUUGAGCGUUCUUUGAUUGGUGUCGAGCCAAUCAGAGUUUGAUCUUGUUUUUAGCAAUAAAAACUUGAGAAUCUGCUUUCAACGGUGGUAAGCGUUCAGGAGGUUAAUU